RNAcentral lists this ribosomal RNA (253 nucleotides) under uncultured bacterium. RNAcentral's name for it is "partial 16S ribosomal RNA". It matches the Rfam family "Bacterial small subunit ribosomal RNA", at positions 524 to 776 of the family's 1533-position model. The record is from RNAcentral.
UACGGAGGGUGCGAGCGUUGUUCGGAAUUACUGGGCGUAAAGCGCACGUAGGUGGCGACGUAAGUCGGGUGUGAAAGCCCCGGGCUCAACCUGGGAAUUGCAUUCGAGACUGCAUUGCUGGAGUACGGAAGAGGAAGGCGGAAUUCCCGGUGUAGCGGUGAAAUGCGUAGAUAUCGGGAGGAACAUCAGUGGCGAAGGCGGCCUUCUGGUCCAGUACUGACACUCAAGUGCGAAAGCGUGGGGAGCAAACAGG